RNAcentral lists this ribosomal RNA (526 nucleotides) under uncultured bacterium. Its description in RNAcentral is "bacterial SSU rRNA". It matches the Rfam family "Bacterial small subunit ribosomal RNA", at positions 984 to 1509 of the family's 1533-position model. The record is from RNAcentral.
ACAUCCAGAGAAUUUAGCAGAGAUGCUUUAGUGCCUUCGGGAACUCUGAGACAGGUGCUGCAUGGCUGUCGUCAGCUCGUGUUGUGAAAUGUUGGGUUAAGUCCCGNAACGAGCGCAACCCUUAUCCUUUGUUGCCAGCACGUAAUGGUGGGAACUCAAAGGAGACUGCCGGUGAUAAACCGGAGGAAGGUGGGGAUGACGUCAAGUCAUCAUGGCCCUUACGAGUAGGGCUACACACGUGCUACAAUGGCGCAUACAAAGAGAAGCGACCUCGCGAGAGCAAGCGGACCUCAUAAAGUGCGUCGUAGUCCGGAUUGGAGUCUGCAACUCGACUCCAUGAAGUCGGAAUCGCUAGUAAUCGUAAAUCAGAAUGUUACGGUGAAUACGUUCCCGGGCCUUGUACACACCGCCCGUCACACCAUGGGAGUGGGUUGCAAAAGAAGUAGAUAGCUUAACCUUCGGGAGGGCGUUUACCACUUUAUGAUUCAUGACUGGGGUGAAGUCGUAACAAGGUAGGCGUAGUGCU